AUCAACUUUCGAUUGGUAGGAUAGAGGCCUACCAUGGUGGUAACGGGUAACGGGGUGUUAGGGCACGACACCGGAGAGGGAGCCUGAGAAACGGCUACCACAUCCAAGGAUGGCAGCAGGCGCGCAAAUUACCCAAUCCCGACACGGGGAGGUAGUGACAAUAAAUAACAAUACGGGGUUCUUUUGGAUCUCGUAAUUGGAAUGAGUACAAUUUAAAUCUCUUAACGAGGAACAAUUGGAGGGCAAGUCUGGUGCCAGCAGCCGCGGUAAUUCCAGCUCCAAUAGCGUAUAUUAAAGUUGUUGCAGUUAAAAAGCUCGUAGUUGAAUUUCGGGGUUAGUAGGUUGGUCAUGCCUCUGGUAUGUACUGGUCUCACUGAUUCCUCCUUCCUUAUGAACCGUAAUGCCAUUAAUUUGGUGUUGCGGGGAAUUUGGACUGUUACUUUGAAAAAAUUAGAGUGUUUAAAGCAGGCUAACGCUUGAAUACAUUAGCAUGGAAUAAUGAAAUAGGACGUUCGAUCUUAUUUUGUUGGUUUCUAGGAUUGACGUAAUGAUUAAUAGGGAUAGUUGGGGGCAUUAGUAUUCAAUUGUCAGAGGUGAAAUUCUUGGAUUUAUUGAAGACUAACUACUGCGAAAGCAUUUGCCAAGGAUGUUUUCAUUAAUCAAGAACGAAAGUUAGGGGAUCGAAGACGAUCAGAUACCGUCGUAGUCUUAACCAUAAACUAUGCCGACUAGGGAUCGGAUGAUGUUAAUUUUUUAAUGACUCAUUCGGCGCCUUACGGGAAACCAAAGUGUUUGGGUUC
Molecule: ribosomal RNA, 800 nt
Filed under: uncultured Glomus
Lineage: Eukaryota; Fungi; Glomeromycota; Glomeromycetes; Glomerales; Glomeraceae
Description: SSU rRNA
Rfam family: Eukaryotic small subunit ribosomal RNA
Source: RNAcentral